RNAcentral lists this ribosomal RNA (380 nucleotides) under uncultured bacterium. Its description in RNAcentral is "bacterial SSU rRNA". It matches the Rfam family "Bacterial small subunit ribosomal RNA", at positions 28 to 409 of the family's 1533-position model. The record is from RNAcentral.
GACGAACGCUGGCGGCGUGCUUAACACAUGCAAGUCGAGCGGUAAGGCCCUUUCGGGGGUACACGAGCGGCGAACGGGUGAGUAACACGUGGGUGACCUGCCCUCAGCUCUGGGAUAAGCCCGGGAAACUGGGUCUAAUACCGGAUAUGACUCCAUGACGCAUGUUGUGGGGUGGAAAGCCUUGUGCGGCUGAGGAUGGGCCCGCGGCCUAUCAGCUUGUUGGUGGGGUGAUGGCCUACCAAGGCGACGACGGGUAGCCGGCCUGAGAGGGCGACCGGCCACACUGGGACUGAGACACGGCCCAGACUCCUACGGGAGGCAGCAGUGGGGAAUCUUGCGCAAUGGGCGAAAGCCUGACGCAGCGACGCCGCGUGAGGGAU